RNAcentral lists this ribosomal RNA (549 nucleotides) under Proceratophrys concavitympanum. RNAcentral describes it as "partial 16S ribosomal RNA". It matches the Rfam family "Bacterial large subunit ribosomal RNA", at positions 1846 to 2593 of the family's 2925-position model. Lineage: Eukaryota; Metazoa; Chordata; Amphibia; Anura; Alsodidae. The record is from RNAcentral.
UAAAAGGUCCAGCCUGCCCAGUGACCAUGUUCAACGGCCGCGGUAUCCUAACCGUGCGAAGGUAGCGUAAUCACUUGUUCUUUAAAUGAGGACUAGUAUGAAUGGCACCACGAGGGUUACACUGUCUCCUUUUUCUAAUCGGUGAAACUAAUCUUCCCGUGAAGAAGCGGGGAUAAAAAUAUAAGACGAGAAGACCCUAUGGAGCUUUAAACAAAAUAACAAUUACCACAACUAAAAAUAAAUUCCAGAAAAAUAACCCCCCACCUCGGUACUCUGUUUAUUAGUUUUAGGUUGGGGUGACCGCGGAGCAAAAAACAACCUCCGCGCUGAACGGGACUUACCCCUAAACAAAAAGCUACAACUUUAUGUAUCAGCACACUGACACCAAUUGACCCAAAAAUUUGAUCAACGAACCAAGUUACCCUAGGGAUAACAGCGCAAUCCAUUUCAAGAGCCCCUAUCGACAAAUGGGUUUACGACCUCGAUGUUGGAUCAGGGUCCCCCAGUGGUGCAGCCGCUACUAAAGGUUUGUUUGUUCAACAAUUAAAA